This is a long non-coding RNA of Homarus americanus (American lobster), 442 nucleotides long. RefSeq lists it as uncharacterized. The record is from RefSeq and is a predicted model, not a curated record. NCBI's taxonomy places the organism in Eukaryota, Metazoa, Arthropoda, Malacostraca, Decapoda, Nephropidae. The transcript has 3 exons.
AAACAACUUUUCAACAGUUGAAUGAAUACUACAAUAUAUAUUUGGAAAACCCACAGAACACUGUGGCUCCUGCUGAUGGAGCGUUGGCUGCCAGACUCACAGAAGGAAGCCGGGGUGCUUAUUACAACCAUCAUCAACAGGCCAGCUGUUGGAGAAAUUUGGUGACCUAAAUGAAGCUAAGUACCCAAUGAACAUAGUUACUGGAAUAACAUCAUUCAUCAAAAUACAACCAGCAAAGCCAUCACGUGAGGAGAAGCGACAAACAGGACUGCAAAAGAAGAGGGAUCGAGAGGAUGAGACGAUAAAAGAAGAAAGAAGAAUUAUUAAAAUUGAAAGCAGAGGAGCUGAAAAGACGCAACGAGGAAAGGAUGAGGCGGGUACAGGAAGCUCGUGAAGAAAGAGAGCGUAAGGCUAUAGAAGCAAAGGAAUAACAAGACAGAGA